UGCAGUCGAGGGGUAACAGAGAAGCUUGCUUCUGCUGACGACCGGCGCACGGGUGCGUAACGCGUAUGCAACCUACCUUAUACAGGAGAAUACCCCUUGGAAACGAGGAAUAAUGCUCCAUGGUAUCAUCACUUCGCAUGUUGAGAUGAUUAAAGAAUUUCGGUAUAAGAUGGGCAUGCGUCCCAUUAGCUUGUUGGUGAGGUAACGGCUCACCAAGGCUACGAUGGGUAGGGGGCCUGAGAGGGUGGUCCCCCACACUGGUACUGAGACACGGACCAGACUCCUACGGGAGGCAGCAGUGAGGAAUAUUGGUCAAUGGAGGCAACUCUGAACCAGCCAUGCCGCGUGAAGGAUGACGGCCCUAUGGGUUGUAAACUUCUUUUGAAUAGGAAGAAACUUAUCUACGUGUAGAUAACUGACGGUACUAUUAGAAUAAGGAUCGGCUAACUCCGUGCCAGCAGCCGCGGUAAUACGGAGGAUCCAAGCGUUAUCCGGAUUCAUUGGGUUUAAAGGGUCCGUAGGCGGGUCUUUAAGUCAGUGGUGAAAGCCGACAGCUCAACUGUCGAACUGCCAUUGAUACUGGAGACCUUGAGUACAAAUGAAGUAAGCGGAAUGAGUCAUGUAGCGGUGAAAUGCAUAGAUAUGACUCAGAACACCGAUUGCGAAGGCAGCUUACUAACAUGUAACUGACGCUGAGGGACGAAAGCGUGGGGAGCGAACAGGAUUA
Molecule: ribosomal RNA, 727 nt
Filed under: uncultured Bacteroidota bacterium
Lineage: Bacteria; Pseudomonadati; Bacteroidota
Description: bacterial SSU rRNA
Rfam family: Bacterial small subunit ribosomal RNA
Source: RNAcentral